UGGGGAAUUUUGGACAAUGGGCGAAAGCCUGAUCCAGCAAUGCCGCGUGUGUGAAGAAGGCCUUCGGGUUGUAAAGCACUUUUGUCCGGAAAGAAAUCCUUGGCUCUAAUACAGUCGGGGGAUGACGGUACCGGAAGAAUAAGCACCGGCUAACUACGUGCCAGCAGCCGCGGUAAUACGUAGGGUGCAAGCGUUAAUCGGAAUUACUGGGCGUAAAGCGUGCGCAGGCGGUUUGCUAAGACCGAUGUGAAAUCCCCGGGCUCAACCUGGGAACUGCAUUGGUGACUGGCAGGCUAGAGUAUGGCAGAGGGGGGUAGAAUUCCACGUGUAGCAGUGAAAUGCGUAGAGAUGUGGAGGAAUACCGAUGGCGAAGGCAGCCCCCUGGGCCAAUACUGACGCUCAUGCACGAAAAGCGUGGGGGAGCAAAACAGGAUUAGAUACCCCUGGGUAGUCCACGCCCUAAAACGAUGUCAACUAGUUGUUGGGGAUUCAUUUCCUUAGUAACGUAGCUAACGCGUGAAGUUGACCGCCUGGGGAGUACGGUCGCAAAGAUUAAAAACUUAAAGGAAUUGACGGGGUCAUAGCUGUUUCCU
Molecule: ribosomal RNA, 593 nt
Filed under: uncultured bacterium
Lineage: Bacteria
Description: partial 16S ribosomal RNA
Rfam family: Bacterial small subunit ribosomal RNA
Source: RNAcentral